UGGGGAAUAUUGCACAAUGGGGUAAACCCUGAUGCAGCGACGCCGCGUGAACGAAGAAGGUAUUCGUAUCGUAAAGUUCUGUCCUAUGGGAAGAUAAUGACAGUACCAUAGAAGAAAGCUCCGGCUAAAUACGUGCCAGCAGCCGCGGUAAUACGUAUGGAGCGAGCGUUGUCCGGAAUUAUUGGGCGUAAAGGGUACGCAGGCGGUUUAAUAAGUCGAAUGUUAAAGAUCGGGGCUCAACCCCGCAAAGCAUUGGAAACUGAUAAACUUGAGUAGUGGAGAGGAAAGUGGAAUUCCUAGUGUAGUGGUGAAAUACGUAGAUAUUAGGAGGAAUACCAGUAGCGAAGGCGACUUUCUGGACACAAACUGACGCUGAGGUACGAAAGCGUGGGGAGCAAACAGG
Molecule: ribosomal RNA, 403 nt
Filed under: bacterium
Lineage: Bacteria
Description: partial 16S ribosomal RNA
Rfam family: Bacterial small subunit ribosomal RNA
Source: RNAcentral